Molecule: transfer RNA, 72 nt
Organism: Toxocara canis (dog roundworm)
Lineage: Eukaryota; Metazoa; Nematoda; Chromadorea; Rhabditida; Toxocaridae
Rfam family: tRNA
About the family: Transfer RNA (tRNA) molecules are approximately 80 nucleotides in length. Their secondary structure includes four short double-helical elements and three loops (D, anti-codon, and T loops). Further hydrogen bonds mediate the characteristic L-shaped molecular structure. tRNAs have two regions of fundamental functional importance: the anti-codon, which is responsible for specific mRNA codon recognition, and the 3' end, to which the tRNAs corresponding amino acid is attached (by aminoacyl-tRNA synthetases). tRNAs cope with the degeneracy of the genetic code in two manners: having more than one tRNA (with a specific anti-codon) for a particular amino acid; and 'wobble' base-pairing, i.e. permitting non-standard base-pairing at the 3rd anti-codon position.
Source: Rfam
CGGGCAGCAGCUCAGUGGUAGAGCUCCCGCAUCGUACGCGGGAAGACUUGAGUUCGGUUCCCGGCUGCUUAC